This 448-nucleotide ribosomal RNA is filed under the name uncultured bacterium. RNAcentral describes it as "partial 16S ribosomal RNA". It matches the Rfam family "Bacterial small subunit ribosomal RNA", at positions 354 to 794 of the family's 1533-position model. The record is from RNAcentral.
GUGGGGAAUAUUGGACAAUGGGCGAAAGCCUGAUCCAGCCAUGCCGCGUGUGUGAAGAAGGUCUUCGGAUUGUAAAGCACUUUAAGUUGGGAGGAAGGGCAGUAAGUUAAUACCUUGCUGUUUUGACGUUACCGACAGAAUAAGCACCGGCUAACUUCGUGCCAGCAGCCGCGGUAAUACGAAGGGUGCAAGCGUUAAUCGGAAUUACUGGGCGUAAAGCGCGCGUAGGUGGUUUUGUAAGUUGGAGGUGAAAUCCCCGGGCUCAACCUGGGAACUGCCUCCAAAACUGCAUGACUAGAGUACGGUAGAGGGUAGUGGAAUUUCCUGUGUAGCGGUGAAAUGCGUAGAUAUAGGAAGGAACACCAGUAGCGAAGGCGACUACCUGGACUGAUACUGACACUGAGGUGCGAAAGCGUGGGGAGCAAACAGGAUUAGAAACCCGGGUUCC